UCGAGCGGGCGUAGCAAUACGUCAGCGGCAGACGGGUGAGUAACGCGUGGGAACAUACCUUUUGGUUCGGAACAACACAGGGAAACUUGUGCUAAUACCGGAUAAGCCCUUACGGGGAAAGAUUUAUCGCCGAAAGAUUGGCCCGCGUCUGAUUAGCUAGUUGGUGAGGUAAUGGCUCACCAAGGCGACGAUCAGUAGCUGGUCUGAGAGGAUGAUCAGCCACAUUGGGACUGAGACACGGCCCAAACUCCUACGGGAGGCAGCAGUGGGGAAUAUUGGACAAUGGGCGCAAGCCUGAUCCAGCCAUGCCGCGUGAGUGAUGAAGGCCCUAGGGUUGUAAAGCUCUUUUGUGCGGGAAGAUAAUGACGGUACCGCAAGAAUAAGCCCCGGCUAACUUCGUGCCAGCAGCCGCGGUAAUAC
This 420-nucleotide ribosomal RNA is filed under the name uncultured bacterium. RNAcentral describes it as "bacterial SSU rRNA". It matches the Rfam family "Bacterial small subunit ribosomal RNA", at positions 62 to 526 of the family's 1533-position model. The record is from RNAcentral.